GGGAGGAAUGGAUGGUAGAGGGGGCAAGUUUCUUUUAUUCCUAGCUGCUGGCACCCAGUCCUCUUCCCCCUCAUGUUUGAAAGUCCGACGGGGCUUUGGCAGUGGGUUGAUGAAAGGCUUCUUCUCUGGCACCCCUGGUUCUGUGUACACAUUUUCUGUAGUGCAGUCCUUGGAUUUCACAUGAGAAGUUCUUACCUCUUCUAGAGUCCCAAAAAUUGGCUCGCUGAUUUCAGAGUCCAAACCAAGAAGCCUUUUGUUGAGCUCAGUCCCACAUAUGCUCUCAUGGCCCUCUGGAGCAGCGUGUCCUUGUGCUGACUUCUCCUGCAAGCACUGUGGGGAGUAAUAAGUACCAGGCAACUGUGGCUGCAGCUCUGCUGAGCCAUCCUUCAAAGCCUGCUCCAGCUUCUUGACCUGACUAAGCACUGAAAGAUUCUCCUUCUGGACCUCCCACUUCCCACCUUUCACUUCUUUGCAUUUUCCAAGGCUGGACUGCACUUCCUCAUCCUUCUCCACUUCCCCUUUCCGCUGUGCUCCCUGCUCCGUGCCUUUUGGAGUUCCUGCUUUCCGCUCAUUCUCUUUGCUUGCCCCUUUGCACUCCAGUUCCCAGUUCAUAAGUCUCUUAGUCUCCACUUUUCGAGACGUCAGUGCUUCUCCACUUGUCUUCUCAACUACACAUGGUAUCUUGCGCUCCUCUUUAGUUCCUUGCUCCUCCUCUCGACGAGGAGCAGACUGCAUUUCCUUUUUCCCUUCCCACUCUGAAAUUUUGUCCUUGAUGCUGAAGGACUUAUUCCUCAAGCCAAUUUUUCCAGGUGUCCGUGUACUCUGAGUACCUCCUAUCUGUUUCCUGAUGAUUCUACUGCUUUCUUUAACGUUCAGAUCCACAGAUGGGUCACUGAUGAUCAUUUUGGGACUGAGCAUGUUCUGCUGAAAGCAGUCUAGCCUUGGAUCGAGCAUCAAGUUCUCCAAGGCUCCCAGUGGGUUCUUCACCACACAAGAAACCGGUUCAGCUUCAGGUGUUAAACUCAGGGUGACAGAGGCACCUUCAGAACAUCUCUCACUUGAAAAUCCACACAGAAGUCUUCCUAAUUCCUUCACAGCUGCUGUACUGUUUUUAUCUGCAAGCUUGAUCCUCUCAGCAGACUUGCAGACACUGCUCUCAGACCUGCUGCUCGCAUCAGCCGCCUUGCUAGCUGUCAUCAUGUCAGCACACAGCUGGGCAGCAGUUCACCUUCCUCGGCGGCGGCGGGGGGCCGUGCCCCGGCAUGGCGGCGUUGCCCGGCGCCGUGCUGGCGGCCUGCGGACGCGCGGCUGGAGGCUCCCCGCCCGCCCCGCCAUGCAGCGCCGCGCCGCUGCCGCUGCCCCCGCCGCCGGCACCAGCCCCGAGCCCGGCCCCGGCCGCCCGCCCUCCGCCGCGAGCACCGCCCCGCCCCGCCCCCGUCGCGCCAACCGCGACGGGCAGAGAGCGGGCUGCGGGCUGCGGCGUGUGUGGCGGUGUGUCCCGGGUUGGAAGGGACCCACGAGGAUUACAUAGGAAGAAAGAAAGGGCCGGCAGUUUAAAAAGAGAUGAGGCGCACAGGAUAGUUUUCUGAUUGCGAACAGAAAUACCCAAAGGAAAGGAAAAAUUCCAAAGGGAAGGAAAGUCCCUACUUGAUACCAAAGUGACACCAGUUAUUCCCACAGAUAACCGUUGCUGGAGGAACCUCUGGCAGCUCUGGAAUGCUGAUGUGCCCAGGGAGCCAGGGCGUCCUCGGGAAUGGCUACACAGAAUCUCAGGGGUUGGAAGGGCCCUCUGGAGCUCAUCUAGCCCGACCCUCCGCUACAGCACGUUCCCUACAGCAGGUUCCACAGGAGAGCGUCCAGAUGUAUGCUGAACAUCUCUGGAGAAGCAGACUGCACCACCUCUCCGGGCACACCGUCCCAGUGCUCUGUCAGCCUCACAGUAAAGAAGUUCCUCAUGUCCAAAUGGGACUUCCUGCGUUCCAGUUUGUGCCCAUCGCCCCUUGUUCUGUCAGUGGGCACCGCAGAAAAGAGCCUGGCCCCAUCCACUUGACUCCCACCUGCUGGAUAUUUAUAAGCAUUGGGAAGAUCCCUCCUUAGCCUUCCCUUCUCCAGGCUGACCAGUCCCACAGCUCUCAGCCAUUCCUCAUCAGGGAGAUGCUCCAGGCCCCUCACCAUCUUGGCGGUCUCUCUCUGGAAGAUGGCUGCAUACCACUGCAGAGUCUGGCUCUGUGAGUCGAUCCACUCACCUGCAUGCGGCUGUAAUCAGCUCCCUGCCGGCACAUGGGUGUGUUUGCACACAUCUGUGCUACUCACUAAAGUGAGGGAAAAAGCUGGCUUGGAAAUCAUAUGUAUUUUUCCAACAGGGCUUUAGUUCUGAGGAUACAUUAAAAAUGAUAGGAAAGGAUUUCUUCCUUGAGUAGGUGUGCAGUUACUAACAUACAUUCCAUGCUGGGUUGUGUGUUGGCAACCCUGCCAGCAGCAGGGGUUGGAACUAGCGGGUGUUUGAGACCCCUUCUGACCCAAGCACGGAGUCGGCCUCUUCUCACAGGUAACAACAGGAUGAGAGGGAAUGGCCUUAAGUUGCACCAGGG
This 2591-nucleotide long non-coding RNA is filed under the name Gallus gallus (chicken). The record is from RNAcentral. Lineage: Eukaryota; Metazoa; Chordata; Aves; Galliformes; Phasianidae.